CUUGGGGUUUCCAGGAUCCCACUUUUGAGGACCCAGGAGCCCACCCUUAGGGGUCCCAGGAUCCCACCCUUGGGGUCCCAGGAUCCUACCCUUGGGAGUUCCAGGAUCCUACCCUUGGGAGUUCCAGGAUCCCACCACUGGGAGCUCCAGGAUCCCACUCUUGGGGACCCAGGAUCCCACUCUUGAGAGUUCCAGGAUCCCACUCUUGAGAGUUCCAGGAUCCCACUCUUGGGGGACCCAGGAUCCCACUCUUGGGGGUUCCAGGAUCCCACCCUCAGGGGUCCCAGGAUCCCACUCUUGGGGGUUCCAGGAUCCCACCCUUAGGGGUCCCAGGAUCCCACUGUUGGGGUCCCAGGAUCCCACCCUUGGGAGUUCCAGGAUCCCACCACUGGGAGCUCCAGGAUGCCAUCCUUGGGGACCCAGGAUCCCACUCUUGGGGUUUCCAGGAUCCCACCCUUAGGGGUCCCAGGAUCCCACUUUUGAGGACCCAGGAGCCCACCCUUGAGAGUUCCAGGAUCCCACUCUUGGGGGUCCCAGGAUCCCACCCUGUGAGUGGGAUGUGGAAUAAAUGCUGGUCCUUGUCACAAA
Molecule: long non-coding RNA, 588 nt
Organism: Chiroxiphia lanceolata (lance-tailed manakin)
Lineage: Eukaryota; Metazoa; Chordata; Aves; Passeriformes; Pipridae
Exons: 2
Source: RefSeq, a predicted model, not a curated record